This 2890-nucleotide ribosomal RNA is filed under the name human gut metagenome. Its description in RNAcentral is "bacterial LSU rRNA". It matches the Rfam family "Bacterial large subunit ribosomal RNA". The record is from RNAcentral.
GUAAGCUACUAAGAGCGAAUGGUGGAUGCCUUGGUUGGUAGAGGCGAUGAAAGACGUGCUAGACUGCGAUAAGUCUCGGGGAGUUGUCAAGGAGCUUUGAUCCGGGAAUUUCUGAAUGGGGAAACCCAGUAUAUAGUGAUAUAUACUACCUAUAUGGAGCAAACGUGGGGAAUUGAAACAUCUUAGUACCCACAGGAAAAGAAAUCAAAUGAGAUUACGAAAGUAGCGGCGAGCGAAAUCGUAAAAGGGCAAACCACUAGUUUACUAGUGGGGUUGUAGGACUGUAACAUAGACUAAAAAGAGUUAAUAGAAUAAUCUGGAAAGUUUAAGCAUAGAGGGUGAUACUCCCGUAUAUGAAAACUCUUUUUUACUUAACAGUAUCCUGAGUAGGGCGAGGCACGUGAAACCUUGUCUGAAUCUGGGAAGACCACUUUCCAACCCUAAAUACUACUACCAAACCGAUAGUGAACAAGUACCGUGAGGGAAAGGUGAAAAGAACGGGGGUGACCCGAGUGAAAUAGAACCUGAAACCAUUUGCUUACAAUCAUUCAGAGCACGAUUCUUUAUGACGUGUGAUGGACUGCCUUUUGCAUAAUGAGCCUGCGAGUUGUGAUAUCUGGCAAGGUUAAGGAAAUCCGGAGCCGUAGCGAAAGCAAGUCUUAAUAGGGCGUUUAGUCAGAUAUUGCAGACCCGAAACGAAGUGAUCUAUCCAUGAGCAGGUUGAAACCGGUGUAAGAGCCGGCGGAGGACCGAACCCGCUGACGUUGAAAAGUCUUGGGAUGACUUGUGGAUAGGGGUGAAAGGCCAAUCAAACUUCGUGAUAGCUGGUUCUCUCCGAAAUAUAUUUAGGUAUAGCGUUAUGUAGUAAUUAGAGGGGGUAGAGCACUGAAUGGGCUAGGGCAUACACCAAUGUACCAAACCCUAUCAAACUCCGAAUACCUUUAAUGUAAUCAUAGCAGUCAGGCGGCGAGUGAUAAAAUCCGUCGUCAAAAGGGGAACAACCCAGACUACCGACUAAGGUCCCAAAAUCUUAUUUAAGUGGAAAACGAUGUGAAGUUACUUAAACAACCAGGAGGUUGGCUUAGAAGCAGCCAUCCUUUAAAGAUAGCGUAAUAGCUCACUGGUCUAGUGAUUUUGCGCGGAAAAUAUAACGGGGCUAAAAUAAGUACCGAAGUCGUAGACUUAGUUUUACUAAGUGGUAGGAGAGCGUUGUAUUUAGCGUUGAAGAUGUACCGGUAAGGAGCGUUGGAGCAAAUACAAGUGAGCAUGCAGGCAUGAGUAGCGUUAAAUCAGGUGAGAAUCCUGAUCGCCGAAAACCCAAGGUUUCCUACGCGAUGCUCGUCAUCGUAGGGUUAGUCGGGUCCUAAGCAAAGUCCGAAAGGGGUAUGCGAUGGAAAAUUGGUUAAUAUUCCAAUACCAAUUAUUAUGUGCGAUGGAAGGACGCUUAAAGUUAGUGGAGCUAACUGAUGGAAUAGUUAGUCUAAGGUCGUAGGUUGAGUUAUAGGCAAAUCCGUAACUCUUUAUCCGAAAGCUUAAAGGCUUACAAAGCUCUUCGGAGUAGCGUAAGAAUCCAUGAUACUAUAGAGCCAAGAAAAGUUUCUAAGUUUAGUAAUAAUUGCCCGUACCGUAAACCGACACAGGUGGGUGGGAUGAGUAUUCUAAGGCGCGUGGAAGAACUCUCUUUAAGGAACUCUGCAAAAUAGCACCGUAUCUUCGGUAUAAGGUGUGCCUACCAGGGUGCAAGCCCUAGAGGUUACAACAAAGAGUCCCUCCCGACUGUUUACCAAAAACACAGCACUCUGCUAACACGUAAGUGGAUGUAUAGGGUGUGACGCCUGCCCGGUGCUCGAAGGUUAAUUGAUGGAGUUAGCAUUAGCAAAGCUCUUGAUCGAAGCCCGAGUAAACGGCGGCCGUAACUAUAACGGUCCUAAGGUAGCGAAAUUCCUUGUCGGUUAAAUACCGACCUGCAUGAAUGGCGUAACGAGAUGGGAGCUGUCUCAAAGAGGGAUCCAGUGAAAUUGUAGUGGAGGUGAAAAUUCCUCCUACCCGCGGCAAGACGGAAAGACCCCGUGGACCUUUACUAUAGCUUGACACUGCUACUUGGAUAAAGAUGUGCAGGAUAGGUGGGAGAUUAUGAUCUAUAGAUGCUAGUCUAUAAGGAGUCAUCCUUGAGAUACCACUCUUCUUUAUUCGGGUAGCUAACUAGCCUAAGUUAUCCUUAGGUAGGACAAUGUCUGGUGGGUAGUUUGACUGGGGCGGUCGCCUCCCAAAUAAUAACGGAGGCUUACAAAGGUUGGUUCAAAACGGUUGGAAAUCGUUUGUAGAGUAUAAAGGCAAAAACCAGCUUAACUGCGACACCGACAAGUGGAGCAGAGACGAAAGUCGGUCUUAGUGAUCCGGUGGUUCUGUGUGGAAGGGCCAUCGCUCAAAGGAUAAAAGGUACCCCGGGGAUAACAGGCUGAUCUCCCCCAAGAGCUCACAUCGACGGGGAGGUUUGGCACCUCGAUGUCGGCUCAUCGCAUCCUGGGGCUGGAGCAGGUCCCAAGGGUAUGGCUGUUCGCCAUUUAAAGCGGUACGCGAGCUGGGUUCAGAACGUCGUGAGACAGUUCGGUCCCUAUCUGCCGUGGGCGUAAGAAGAUUGAGGAGAGUUGACCCUAGUACGAGAGGACCGGGUUGAACCAACCACUGGUGUAUAAGUUGUCCUGCCAAGGGCACCGCUUAGUAGCUAAGUUGGGAUGUGAUAAGAGCUGAAAGCAUCUAAGCUCGAAGCCAACUCCAAGAUUAAUCUUCUUUUAAGAGCUCUUAUAGACUAUAAGUUUGAUAGGCUGGGUGUGUAAUUGAUGUAAGUCAUUUAGCUGACCAGUACUAAUAGCUCGUUUGCUUAUCUAUU